UACGUAGGGGGCGAGCGUUGUCCGGAUUCAUUGGGCGUAAAGGGUGCGUAGGCGGCGCGGUAAGUCGGGUGUGAAAUCUCGGAGCUUAACUCCGAAACUGCAUUCGAUACUGCCGUGCUUGAGGACUGGAGAGGAGACUGGAAUUUACGGUGUAGCGGUGAAAUGCGUAGAUAUCGGGAGGAAUACCUAUGGCGAAAGCAGGCUACUGGACCGUCACUGACUCUGAUCUGCGAAAGCUAGGGGAGCAAACAGG
This 253-nucleotide ribosomal RNA is filed under the name uncultured bacterium. RNAcentral's name for it is "partial 16S ribosomal RNA". It matches the Rfam family "Bacterial small subunit ribosomal RNA", at positions 524 to 776 of the family's 1533-position model. The record is from RNAcentral.